Long non-coding RNA from Acanthopagrus latus (yellowfin seabream), 1958 nucleotides. RefSeq lists it as uncharacterized. NCBI's taxonomy places the organism in Eukaryota, Metazoa, Chordata, Actinopteri, Spariformes, Sparidae. The record is from RefSeq and is a predicted model, not a curated record. The transcript is spliced from 4 exons.
ACAGAGAACCAAGAACUUACUGUGUAACAUCUGUCAGUCAGUGAGACGGCUUCAGUCAUUGAUCAUGUAUCAUAGACAGAGUGUGAUUUUGGAGUUUUUACGUCAGAAUUUAGAAGAAAAAAAAAGUGCCAUUUUUACUGGUGAUACACAAUUUUAAAAAAUACAGAGGAAAAAGUGACACAACUGUGAAAACAAAUCAUUGAAAGUCUCAGAAGAAGAAUUUUGAAUUCUUUCAAACUUUAUUGUUUAUCAGAAUUUUGACUUGUUUCCAAAAAUUCAUACUUUUUCUUGGAAUUCUUACUUUUUGUUAAUUCUGUCUUUUCCCCUAAAUUCUGACAUUUUCUUAUUUCUGAUGUUUUUUUCUCAAAAUUCAGACUUUUCUUUCUUGUAUAGGUGGGGUUAAAAAAGAAAUAAAUAACUCCCUCUUAACACUUUACACCCGUUUUCCAAUAAGCACAUUUCAGAUGAUUUCGUAACGGUUGUUUAUAUGAUUUUAAUUUUGAGCAGUUUUAUAUUUUCAGAUCUAAAUAAACAUCCACCAGACUAGAAGCAAUAAUUAGGUCUUUAAGUGUGAAGUGAAGUUUUUUUUUCUAUUUUUCUCUCCUGGUGCUCUAAACCGGGUGGGGAACCUCCGGCCUCCGCGAGACUGUUUGGUCGGGCCAGCGAGGCAAUCCAUGAAAAAUUAAUUCAGGAAAAAUGAUUACAAAUGUGUAAUUAAAAGCCCCAGGGGGAGGGUGUCUGUCUUUCCGGGCCAAGAUCAAGGUCAUUGAACACAACAUCAGCGUAACUGUCAUCACGUCACGUCCUCAGUGAUUGACAGGUGUCAACAGCGGCAGGAGAGACAGCCGUUAGCUAAAACGGAACAUGGCGACUAGAAAAAGAGAAGUAGAAGCGGAGUUUCUCUCUCCGGGAGAAAUAGACGAAGGAAUUCUUCUUUGUGGAGGUGAAAGUCUCGUGUGCCCGAAUAAAGUUUCCGCUCUCUGAUGGAGUUUGAGUGGCAGCAAGCAGUUUUAUCCAAAGCGGAGAGACCAGGAGACUUGACAGGCUAGCUUCGUUGAAAUGGCCAUCGACAGAAUAAAGGUUCCCCACCCAUAAACUCGGGUAAGAAUCAGGAGAAAGAAGACAGCUGUAGUUUGGUUUGUGUCUCACCGACCUGCCAGAAGUCAGAGAUGGUGUGCGACAAAGGGCCCUGGGUGGCGAUGUAGGCCGGCAUCCGGGGGUCAUGUUCAAUCUGAAGAAGGUCAAAACAAGAUAAAGAUGCAGGGCACCGAAUCAGGGCAGCGGUUCUUCUUGGCGUUGGCUUCGCUCUGAGCCACGGAGACGGCGCUGGGCUCGGCCUGGUAGGAGCAGAGAGCCUCCCACUCCUUCAUCAGACGGUCCUUGUUCCUCAGGUGGUCCUCCAUGUAGGCCUGAGGAGGAAACAGCAGACAGCUUUCUCCGCCACGUCUCCGGCCGACAUGUUGUUGGAGUUGGGUCUGAUUCUGAAGGUGAUGGCGGGUCCGAACACACUGCAGACGGACACAAGGACAAAUCCGGAGGACAGAUUACUUUACAUGUCAGGUACUUCAGUUACUUUACAAAUUAAGUAAACAGACCUGAAGUGAAGUUGUUGUUCUUUAUUGUAAUUUAUUAUAAUGUGAUAUUUGAAUUUUAAAUGUUUUCUGGGAUAUUUUCUUAUUUCUUUCUUUAUUUCUAAGUAAAAUCAGUUCACUUGCUUCCUGGUGUUUCUUUUGUUUAGUUUUAUAAAGUGUUAUUUUUCUUCUUUCUCUCUUUAAUCUUUGCACGAACAUAUUUGUAUUUUUCAGAUUUAUCUUCUUGACUUUUUAUGUUUAUGAACAGUUUGUCUGCAGACCAGCUCUCCUCAAGAAAGUGUUUUAUUUAACAUGGACUCAAAGUUUUAAAGUGAAUCCCAUGAAAUCAAAGUCAGAGGUCCAGUCGGUGAGGAGGAGGAGGACGAG